GGUUCGCUAAACGCCGGAUUCGGCCGAAACGGGCUGAUUUCCAGCCGUUUUCACAGUUCCAGGGCUCCGCAAGUUGCGGGGCCCUUUUUGUUAACCAUUGCCCCCAAAGCAUUCCGCUCUGGAUCGGCCUACCGGCCCUUUUUUGCCAUACUCAGGGGGGCAUACUCGGCGCUUCACGGGCCUGUGACAGACUUGGGCAAGACUUGAUCAAGACUUGGGAUUGCUAAGGACUUGGGCAAACGAAGACUUGGAAAGACGUAACUGACAAGGCGCGGGGAUUGGUAAAUAUCGAUUAACCCUCCUGCCUUAGGACUA
This 315-nucleotide unclassified non-coding RNA is filed under the name Hevea brasiliensis (rubber tree). Lineage: Eukaryota; Viridiplantae; Streptophyta; Magnoliopsida; Malpighiales; Euphorbiaceae. The record is from RNAcentral.